Long non-coding RNA from Gasterosteus aculeatus aculeatus (three-spined stickleback), 776 nucleotides. The record is from Ensembl. Lineage: Eukaryota; Metazoa; Chordata; Actinopteri; Perciformes; Gasterosteidae.
GUUGUGCCAGGGAGGGUUUGUUGGGCAAACGUUGAGACCAACCGUCAAAGGAGCACUUCCGCAUCGCCUGAAGAUUAAGUACCUGAGAAAGUCCCUAAAGCCAUCGACGGUUAGGAGGGAACCCAACUUCACUUUCACUGCUCAAAUAUUCUCCGUUGCACCAACGGCCGAGCCUCCAGAUGCUCGGUUGGUGGCGUGAGGACGGCACGCACGUGAAACAUGACAGUGAGGGGAGCCGCAGCACGUGUGUUCGGCUCAAAACAAGAAGAAUAAGCUCGCAGUGAGGGCCUCGCCGCUGGCGUCCAACCGUGUUUCGCGGUGGAAACCAAACACUGGCCUGUUUGGACUGGAUGUGAUCCUUGUUUCCGGGCGGAACGCUGCCAGAGGCGGAUUGAUGGCUCUCACCCAGAGGAGGACGUUUACAGGAAUAUCCUCCCGGCUGGAAUUCGCUUUUCGUUUUUUUUUUUUUAAAUUGGACUCCGAACACACGGUCGCAGUCAUGGCUGCGCGGCGGCAAAGUGUUCCCCGAGUGAUAAUGAAGGGAGUGCUGCUGUGCACAUCGCCGCGCACACAAACACGCGGUUGUAGUGUACUUGAGGGGCCGUCGCUGACAUGAUGCAUGGUGGGUACGGCCUUAACCUUAACCCGGAAUCCAACCUUGACCUGAACCCAGUCAUAAAUAACACUUCUGGUUCAUCACAACUUGGGCCUCGUUUGAUAGUUUUGGCCCACGAUGACGUGACGUACACCAAGUAACGGCUUGAGAUUGAGCAGAC